UGAGCGGAGGGGGCAUAUACAGUGGGGAGGGCUCUAUCGACAACUGUUUGAGGAACCCUCUUGAAGCCACUCAAGACCAACUUGCCAACCCCAGGCACAAUCAUCCAGGGUUUUUGGGAUCUUUCAAACGCAGGAGGCAGGGAAGCGCUGGGCCUGGCUGGUCAGGCGCCAGCCCGCGGAGACCGAAGCCUUCGGGUACCUCGAGCGAGGCAAGCCGGGCAGGGGACUCGGGGAGAGAAGGCUGCAGGCCCCACACUCACGGCGGCCGCUCCCCUUCAGAGUCCGACCACGCUUGGAGGCCCUGCACCACCACGUUCCCGGGACCCUUCCCCACCUUUCCCAGCGGAUGACACUCGGAGGUUCCGGAAACGUCACAUCCGGCGCCCGCUCCGCCCACUCCCGCUCGUCUGUCUAUUACAUUCCCAAUGAUUUAGGACUUGGAAUGGAGAGCUAGUAGGUGGGGCUAGAAUCGGCACCUGCGGAAAAUCCGACCAAUGAGGAGCGAACGACACAGCGGCCAUCUUGGUAAAGGAAAAGGAACAAGGAAGAAGGUGGAACUAAUGACCAAGCUAAGACAGGGUCUUUCAGUGCCACCCAGGCUGGCACAGGAGUGCAGUGGCGUGAUCAUAGCCCACUGUGGUCUCCAACUUAUGGACUCAAGCGAUCUUCCUGCCUCCGCCUCCCAAAGUACCGGGAUUACUGGCGUGUACCACCGCACCCAGAUGAGACUAACGUUUUAAUGUCAAAAAACCUAUAAAAUAUUCGGAAAAAAAAGAGUUUAAUCUCUAAGAGCCAUUGUGCAAAAGCAGUGAAGACCCAAAGAUCUGUAUGACACUGUUCCUGCCCUGAGACCGGGACAAGGUGGUUUUAUGCAUCAAAUACAGAAUGGCACGUUCUGCACGUA
Macaca mulatta (Rhesus monkey) is the source of this 904-nucleotide long non-coding RNA. RefSeq lists it as uncharacterized. The record is from RefSeq and is a predicted model, not a curated record. NCBI's taxonomy places the organism in Eukaryota, Metazoa, Chordata, Mammalia, Primates, Cercopithecidae.